RNAcentral lists this ribosomal RNA (305 nucleotides) under uncultured bacterium. Its description in RNAcentral is "bacterial SSU rRNA". It matches the Rfam family "Bacterial small subunit ribosomal RNA", at positions 338 to 641 of the family's 1533-position model. The record is from RNAcentral.
CCUACGGGGCGCAGCAGUGAGGAAUAUUGGUCAAUGGACGAGAGUCUGAACCAGCCAAGUAGCGUGAAGGAUGACUGCCCUAUGGGUUGUAAACUUCCUUUAUAAAGGAAUAAAACGAGGCACGUGUGCCUUUUUGCAUGUACUUUAUGAAUAAGGAUCGGCUAACUCCGUGCCAGCAGCCGCGGUAAUACGGAGGAUCCGAGCGUUAUCCGGAUUUAUUGGGUUUAAAGGGUGCGUAGGCGGGAUGCCAAGUCAGCGGUAAAAAUGCGGUGCUCAACGCCGUCGAGCCGUUGAAACUGGCGUUC